CCAACCUGCCGAUGACUCGGGGAUAGCCUUUCGAAAGAAAGAUUAAUACCCGAUGGCAUAGUUCUUCCGCAUGGUGGAACUAUUAAAGAAUUUCGGUCAUCGAUGGGGAUGCGUUCCAUUAGGUUGUUGGCGGGGUAACGGCCCACCAAGCCUUCGAUGGAUAGGGGUUCUGAGAGGAAGGUCC
RNAcentral lists this ribosomal RNA (184 nucleotides) under uncultured Bacteroidota bacterium. RNAcentral describes it as "uncultured Bacteroidetes bacterium partial 16S ribosomal RNA". It matches the Rfam family "Bacterial small subunit ribosomal RNA", at positions 121 to 306 of the family's 1533-position model. The record is from RNAcentral. Lineage: Bacteria; Pseudomonadati; Bacteroidota.